AAAUUGAAGAGUUUGAUCAUGGCUCAGAUUGAACGCUGGCGGCAGGCCUAACACAUGCAAGUCGAACGGUAACAGGAAGCAGCUUGCUGCUUCGCUGACGAGUGGCGGACGGGUGAGUAAUGUCUGGGAAGCUGCCUGAUGGAGGGGGAUAACUACUGGAAACGGUGGCUAAUACCGCAUAACGUCGCAAG
Molecule: ribosomal RNA, 191 nt
Filed under: Salmonella enterica subsp. enterica serovar Thompson
Lineage: Bacteria; Pseudomonadati; Pseudomonadota; Gammaproteobacteria; Enterobacterales; Enterobacteriaceae
Description: partial 16S ribosomal RNA
Rfam family: Bacterial small subunit ribosomal RNA
Source: RNAcentral